UUCUGGCCUAGAGUCCCGAGGCGGUGCAGCGGCUCUGUGGCUGGGUGCCUAUGACACUGGAUCCAGAAUCCAGAGUUGUUGCCCUGGGUGGGCUGCAGGCUCUGAGUCCAACAUGGCAAUAGAUGUUUGCCUGCAUGUGUCUGUGCACCACAAGCUUCUUGGAAUCCAAGAAGGCUAGAAGACGGUGCUAGAAAUUGAACCCAAGUCCUUUGGAAGAAAGCCAGUGCUAACUCCUGACCCUCUCUUCAGACACUAAUGCAUUUUAAAGUACUGUAGCUCGCCAUUUGGUGCACCCACUAGUUUGUGACCAGGGCAUAGGGGACCAGAAGCUGCUAUCAAGUGGUCAAGGGCCCACAAAGGCCUCCAAGAAGCUUGAGAGGAGGACACCCUGACCAAAAGCCUUGGAGGUCAGUGCAUGAACAGAUGCCACCCAGCAGAUGCUGGCCUGUGGGAGUCUAUGGGCAGCUUUUCAUUGGUUGGGAGAUUUUAUAAUUCAACUGAAGACUGUACAAUUCCUUAACUCUUAUGAUGGGGUGGGGCUGAUGAGGGUACUCACUCAUUUCAUCAUUAGAUGAGCACAAAUUCUCCCAGGAAAAAGUUAACCCCAGCCCUCUCUGGACCCAGGGAAGCUGUCCAGCAAACACAUAUCCUCUUUCCUGAUCUGGGAAUGGGCCUGAUGUGGGGCAGGGGCAGCCUAGGGACACCUAGUGGGAGAGUCCCUCCCUCAAGCCACAUCCUCUCUCCUGCCCUGCCUCAUGCAGUCCUCAGCCCAUGGCCACCUGCUGCUUGCUC
Molecule: long non-coding RNA, 792 nt
Organism: Mesocricetus auratus (golden hamster)
Lineage: Eukaryota; Metazoa; Chordata; Mammalia; Rodentia; Cricetidae
Exons: 3
Source: RefSeq, a predicted model, not a curated record